RNAcentral lists this long non-coding RNA (954 nucleotides) under Anser brachyrhynchus (Pink-footed goose). RNAcentral describes it as "lncRNA (ENSABRG00000017503.1)". The record is from RNAcentral. Lineage: Eukaryota; Metazoa; Chordata; Aves; Anseriformes; Anatidae.
AAACUCCAGACCAGAAUUCAUCUAUAAACACAGUUUGUUAAUACAACUUCUCUUCUGAAAUCACUUUUAGGAUCUUGAAAUUUCAAUCUGAAUGAGACUUCAGUGCACUUAAGUUACUUACUAUUAGAUUAGUUUUAUGAAGAGAAUUCAAUAAAUGCUCUAUAGCAAGCGUGCAUACAGCAGGCUAACUGCAUACACAUGGUUAUUGUCAACUUUUAACACUUUUAUCAUGGGACUGAUGAGAAGCAUAAAAGCUGACUGGCAAUAGCUAAGUUUCCUGCACUGCCAUAAAUGUGCUAAGUGCUAAGGCCCUGCCAGCGUCCUGCUGCUUUAAAAGGCCACCGGACCAGUUUCUGAAGACAAUGAUUUCUUAUUUCUUAUGGGAUCAAAAGGAUUGAUAACCUUGCUUAGCCUUGCUCCAAGCUUUGUGAUUUACCUUAAUAAAAUACCAUUUUGCCUUGGGCUUUCUGCUGACUGUGCUGUAAGACUUGUACCCAAAAAUGUGUUUGUCAGUAUGUGUCACAUCACUUUUUAUCUAGUUUGGUAUAGCUGCCUAUUUAUGUAACCUUCUGUAGCAUCAAAUGCUUAUCAACACAGGAAUUCUGGGGAAUGUUCUGUCACAGAGAUAUCAGUACAAGAAUCGUGUAUUCCUCAUUGCGUUUCUGUAGUGAUGCAACACACCUGUGUCAGGUUAUAUCAUGCAGCUGUAAGUGUUAGGAAUCAUGUAAUGAGAGUGUUUAAAAACACAGUGCAGCCUGAAAGGAGAGACAAAAUCAGAAUCACGGUAUGGAUCCUGAGGACAGAAGUUACAGUGACAAGUCCUGAAAUAAGCCUUCUAUUUUUUCACGACACUGGUUUGGUUCCCUCGCUGCUCAAGUAGACUUAAGGAUUCUGUAAGUAAAAAUUUUCCAUUUUGUUGUUUUUAACCUCUGAUUUAUGUUAAUAAAGUAUUGC